GUGGGCGAUAACCCACGACCCAUCAAUCUGGAAGGACCCGUGGGAGUUCAAUCCAGACCGUUUCUUGGAAGAGGACGUGCCAAUAAUGGGCUCGGAUCUAAGGCUUGCACCGUUUGGGUCAGGGCGGAGGGUGUGUCCAGGUAAGGCAUUAGGCUUAGCGACAGUCCACCUGUGGCUGGGGCGGCUUCUACACCGAUACAAAUGGUUACCGGCGCAGCCUGUAGAUUUGUCUGAGUGUUUGAGGCUUUCCCUUGAAAUGAAAAAGCCAUUAGCUUGUCGCGUGGUUGAU
This 289-nucleotide unclassified non-coding RNA is filed under the name Hevea brasiliensis (rubber tree). Lineage: Eukaryota; Viridiplantae; Streptophyta; Magnoliopsida; Malpighiales; Euphorbiaceae. The record is from RNAcentral.